GGCUGGUCCAAUGGUAGUGGGUUAUCAGAACUUACUAACAUUAAUGUCACUAAAGUUGGUAUUCAGCCCCCUGCUGCUGACUUUGACUGGCUUUUG
This 96-nucleotide Y RNA is filed under the name Propithecus coquereli (Coquerel's sifaka). RNAcentral's name for it is "Y RNA (ENSPCOG00000008316.1)". It matches the Rfam family "Y RNA". Rfam says of the family: Y RNAs are components of the Ro ribonucleoprotein particle (Ro RNP), in association with Ro60 and La proteins. The Y RNAs and Ro60 and La proteins are well conserved, but the function of the Ro RNP is not known. Lineage: Eukaryota; Metazoa; Chordata; Mammalia; Primates; Indriidae. The record is from Rfam by way of RNAcentral.